Cricetulus griseus (Chinese hamster) is the source of this 1842-nucleotide non-coding RNA. NCBI's taxonomy places the organism in Eukaryota, Metazoa, Chordata, Mammalia, Rodentia, Cricetidae. The record is from RefSeq and is a predicted model, not a curated record.
GCCCCGCCCUGGCCUCUGCUCAUUGGCCUGGAUCCCCACAGAGCCGCCCUCAUUGGCCGUCCUUCACCUCAAGGGGGCGGGGCCCAAAGUCGCCGGAGUUUUGCUCGGGACGGGACGUCCGACAGAGGAGAGGCUGACGUCGGGGUGACGCUCCGAGUUAAUCGCAUCUGACGUCACGUCUCGUCUUAGCUCGCCUGCGGCGAUUGGCUGAGCGGCUUUGGGGAUCCCCUGCUAAUUGGGCGUCAAGGUUACAAGGUCUGGUUGUCUCAGUCGGAGCCCCGCCCCUGAAGGGUAAUAGAGGACUGAAGGCAGUAACAGAGUACCUGCCACUGUGGUCCGUGGUGAAGAUCCCCAUCCGGUAAAGGCAGGACAUGUGACCAAGUAUGGAUUUUAUCUUCCGACAGCUGCAGAAGCUUUGGACCUUGAUGUGCCUCUGUGGGGGCGGGCACAGUAGGAUGUCUCUAGAACUUUUCCUUAAAAGGAAGUUCGGUAGUGGGGUGGGACAGACUAUACUUUAUUCCAGACUUGAAAUUACCUAGUCGGCUGUAGUCUUCCAUAGUUGUAUGGAGCAACUGCAGUACAAAAUUAUGCCAAGAGAUUAAAUGUGUUUCGUGUGGUCGGCAUGGUACAAUAGAGUUGAAUAUAAGGUCUUUCAAAACCAACUCAUACAUGCGUUUGGUCUUAUAGGAACAGAAUAUGCCCUGGACUCGCCAUAUGAUUAGGGCUAUGCCUUCUUAAUGGGGCAUGUGACACCCAUGUUUGGGGUUUCUUCUCUCAGAGGACCCUAGAAGAGAACUGAUCUUGACCUCGGUGAAAAGAAACAUGGACAGCCAUUCUCUGUUUGUUUGAGAUCUGUACGUUUCAUUUGACAGGCCUGUGAGAAAACCUGGCUAGGCUUUAGGCUAGGAGAAGGUCUUAUUGAGGUUAAAUGGAGGAGGUAGAGGCCAAAGUGUAAGGAGGCUUGGCUUACUUCCCACUCCAGUUUAUGCUGUGUGUGGGCAUGCCUAGGGUAGGGCGUUAAACCAGUCCUCUUUAAGCUCUGUGUGGAUAGACUAGAAAAGUUUCCCGGAUGGGUGAUCAGAAACACAAGACUAGGGCGGUGAUGGUGCAUGCCUUUAAUCCCAGCACCCAGAGGCAGAGGCAGGCAGAUUUCUGUGAGUUCAAGGCCAGCCUGGUCUACAGAAUGAGAAACACAAGACAAGUGCCAGAAGAGGAUUCAACUAGAAGCAGACCAAGAGUAAAUAAUCUGUCCUCCCUUACUUCCUAGAAGGGAAAGGACCUUUAAAGAGAAGCCAUUCUUUGUUCAAAGGCACAAAACUGAUUGGGAAGAACUGAGAUCCUGGCCAUCUGUCCUGAUUUUCUGGUUUGAUUCUUCUGCAGUUCCUUCCACCUCAUGAUAACAAGCAAUAGUUGAAAAUCUGGGAGAUCCUUAAGAAGAAUUGGAAGUAGAAAAUAGUGGGACCUUGGUAUCCUGUUUUACGCACCUCUGUAAACGCUGUGGGUUUGUUUGAGUGUUCAGAAAGGAAAUGGAAGUCUAAGGGAUAAGAAAACAAAAGAUUAAAAAAAUAGUCAUGGCUUGACAUUCAAAUCUGUUGGUUACUUAAGUAGCCUUUUCUACCUUCUUUCACAUCUCUGUUUGUUCUCCUUGCACUCUUGGGGUUGUUUUAUUUUCACGUCACUAAAGCAAAACCAAUUGGAGCAAACUAAUUUUUUGCCUCUGCAGCUGUAGAUGAAAGAAACAUAAAUCUGUUCUUGCUUUUGUAAGCAGCAGGCUGAUGAGACUGGUGAUUUUGCUUUAAGAAAAUAAAAGUUCUGCCUUUUAAAGGGCACUUGUCAACAGAG